GCCAUUAUACCGGCGAUAGCUCAGUGGGUAAAGCGCCAGGUGAGAAGAUGGCGAUUACUCCGAGAGCUAUUAUCCGCGCGGGUUCGAAUCCCGCCUGUGGCA
Molecule: transfer RNA, 102 nt
Filed under: Aromia moschata
Lineage: Eukaryota; Metazoa; Arthropoda; Insecta; Coleoptera; Cerambycidae
Description: tRNA-OTHER
Source: RNAcentral